Molecule: non-coding RNA, 998 nt
Organism: Zonotrichia albicollis (white-throated sparrow)
Lineage: Eukaryota; Metazoa; Chordata; Aves; Passeriformes; Passerellidae
Source: RefSeq, a predicted model, not a curated record
ACACACACUUGCAGCCUUCUGAAGUGGAGUGGUGCUACUGUGUAUGGGCAGAUGCCUGAAGCCUUCAAAUGAAGUCAUCAGAUCUGUGUCCACCGCCUUUAUAGCACUUCAUGUUAACUCAUAUGGCUGAAAGAGCCUUCUUCCAAAAUUACAUGUCUGGGUGAGAGAAAAACACUUAAGCAUCACAACAGUGAGAGGAAGUAGCAGAAAAUUAAGCACCUGAGAUCAACAGUUUUGCAGAGACUGGUUGAAUGAAGACACUUAAAAAGGUUUUGCCUCAAUGCACUUCAACGUAAGGUUUUAGAAGUCCAGUUCCAUAUUUCCACCAGCAUGUCAAAGGGUGGGAGCAGAUGUUGUCCUAGAGGAAUUCACAUAAAUAUACGAUGUCACAGGUUUUGUUCAGAGUGAAACACUUUCUUCAGAAGAAGAGGCUGACAUCACUGAGCAAUCAUCAUUGACAAGAAAACCUGUUUAAAAUAUGGAAUUGUUAUGGAAUUAAAGGAAAUAUGAGAUACUUUGAAAACAUGCACAGAUAUAUGGAUAUAAAGUCUCGACACAACUUGGCGCUGAUUGGCCAAUGAGUCAAAACUACUCACACCAGAAUCCAAUGAAACAAUCACCUGUGCAUAAACAAUCUCCAAACACGUUCCAAACGAGCAAAACACAGGGAAACAAAUGAGGUAAAAAUAUCCAAUGAAGAUGAUAUGCUUAAAAGCCUUCUGAUCUCUACACAUUACAUUGUCAUGUUGAUCACAGGGUAAGAUUUCUAUAAGAUCCAGUGUUGAUCUGCAUUCUAAUACUUUCUGUAGAUGAUUACUGUAAUGCUACAGUGCAGGCAUUAGAAUCUCAGCCUGCUGGCUUAACUUGGGAUGCUUUCUGGAAGGUGUGUGUAAUGGAAUCCUGUAGGCAUAUUGUGGAAGAUAAUAAGGAUUAGCAAAGUAAAGCAAACCGCUGGACUGUUAAAUAGAAUAGCUUGUGAGCACUUAGCACGGACAACC